AGCUCCAAUAGCGUAUAUUUAAGUUGUUGCAGUUAAAAAGCUCGUAGUUGGAUUUUGGGUCGGGGUGACCGGUCCGCCGUUCCGGUGUGUACUGUUUGCUCCUUCCUUCUUGCCGGGGACGCGCUCCUGGGUUUCAUUAUCUGGGACGUGGAGUCGGCGAUGUUACUUUGAAAAAAUUAGAGUGUUCAAAGCAAGCCAUCGCUCUGAAUACAUUAGCAUGGAAUAACACCAUAGGACUCUGGUCCUAUUUUGUUGGUUUUCGGGAUUGGAGUAAUGAUUAAUAGGGACAGUCGGGGGCAUCCGUAUUUCAUUGUCAGAGGUGAAAUUCUUGGAUUUAUGAAAGACGAACUUCUGCGAAAGCAUUUGCCAAGGAUGUUUUCAUUGAUCAAGAACGAAAGUA
Molecule: ribosomal RNA, 400 nt
Filed under: phytoplankton environmental sample
Lineage: Eukaryota
Description: partial small subunit ribosomal RNA
Rfam family: Eukaryotic small subunit ribosomal RNA
Source: RNAcentral